CGACACUAGCUCAGUUGGUAGAGCGCAACCUUGCCAAGGUUGAGGUCACGAGUUCGAACCUCGUGUGUCG
This 70-nucleotide transfer RNA is filed under the name Vibrio cholerae. RNAcentral's name for it is "tRNA-Gly". It matches the Rfam family "tRNA". From Rfam's summary of the family: Transfer RNA (tRNA) molecules are approximately 80 nucleotides in length. Their secondary structure includes four short double-helical elements and three loops (D, anti-codon, and T loops). The record is from RNAcentral. Lineage: Bacteria; Pseudomonadati; Pseudomonadota; Gammaproteobacteria; Vibrionales; Vibrionaceae.